This 238-nucleotide ribosomal RNA is filed under the name uncultured bacterium. RNAcentral's name for it is "partial 16S ribosomal RNA". It matches the Rfam family "Bacterial small subunit ribosomal RNA", at positions 96 to 334 of the family's 1533-position model. The record is from RNAcentral.
CGGCGGACGGGUGAGUAACGCGUGGGUAACCUACCCUGUACACACGGAUAACAUACCGAAAGGUAUGCUAAUACGGGAUAAUAUAUUUGAGAGGCAUCUCUUGAAUAUCAAAGGUGAGCCAGUACAGGAUGGACCCGCGCCUGAUUAGCUAGUUGGUAAGGUAACGGCUUACCAAGGCGACGAUCAGUAGCCGACCUGAGAGGGUGAUCGGCCACAUUGGAACUGAGACACGGUCCAA